Molecule: ribosomal RNA, 253 nt
Filed under: uncultured bacterium
Lineage: Bacteria
Description: partial 16S ribosomal RNA
Rfam family: Bacterial small subunit ribosomal RNA
Source: RNAcentral
UACGUAGGGUGCAGGCGUUAAUCGGAAUUACUGGGCGUAAAGCGUGCGCAGGCGGUUUCUUAAGUCAGAUGUGAAAGCCCCGGGCUUAACCUGGGAAUGGCCAUGGAAACUGGCGAGCUGGAGUGUGGCAGAGGGGGGUGGAAUUCCGCGUGUAGCAGUGAAAUGCGUAGAGAUGCGGAGGAACACCGAUGGCGAAGGCAGCCCCCUGGGCUAACACUGACGCUGAGGCACGAAAGCGUGGGGAGCAAACAGG